Molecule: long non-coding RNA, 702 nt
Filed under: Numida meleagris (helmeted guineafowl)
Lineage: Eukaryota; Metazoa; Chordata; Aves; Galliformes; Numididae
Description: lncRNA (ENSNMEG00000003051.1)
Source: RNAcentral
UGGGGAUGGGUUGGGGACAGACUGGGGACGCAACUGGGGACACAGUUGGGGAUGGGUUGGGGACAGAUUAGGGGCACAGUUGGGGACACAAUUAGGGAUGGGUUGGGGACGCAGUUGGGGACACAAUUGGGGAUGGGUUGGGGACAGAUUGGGGACACAACUGGGGGCACAGUUAGAGAUGGGUUGGGGACAAAUUGGGGACGCCAUUGGGGAUGGGCUGGGGAUGGGCUGGGGACACAUUUGGGGACACAAUUAGGGGUGGGUUGGGGACACAAUUGGGGGCACAGUUGGGGAUGGGUUGGGGACACAUUCAGGAGACACAUUUGGGGACACAAUUAGGGGUGGGUUGGGGACAGACUGGGGACACAACUGGGGACACGUUUGGGGACACCGACCUUUCUGGACCUUGUCACAGAGCAGGAAGAUCUCGUCCCCCCCCUGGCAGCUCCCAGAGUUGCGGUUCACCCGGCAGAUGCGCAGCUCAGCCGUGCUGGGGGCACCUGGGGGGGACACACGAGGUCACCUGGGGUCACAUGGGGGGGGGGGAUCAUAUGGGGGUCACUCAGGGUCAUCCAUGGCGGCACAGGGUCACCUGGGGUCACACAGGGGUCACGUGAGGUCACUCAAGGUCAUACAUGGCGACGUGGGGUCACCUGGGGUCACGUGGGGUCAUAUGAGGUGACACGGGGUCACCUGGGGUCA